UUGCCUUAGUAACGGCGAGUGAAGCGGCAAUAGCUCAAAUUUGAAAUCCGGCUCUUUUAGAGUCCGAGUUGUAAUUUGUAGAAGAUGCUUCGGCUUACGUACCGGUCUAAGUUCCUUGGAACAGGACGUCACAGAGGGUGAGAAUCCCGUUUGUGGCCGGUACUUCCGCUAUGUGAAGCUCCUUCGACGAGUCGAGUUGUUUGGGAAUGCAGCUCUAAAUGGGAGGUAAAUUUCUUCUAAAGCUAAAUAUUGGCCAGAGACCGAUAGCGCACAAGUAGAGUGAUCGAAAGAUGAAAAGCACUUUGGAAAGAGAGUUAAAAAGUACGUGAAAUUGUUGAAAGGGAAGCGCUUGCGACCAGACUUGUCUUUAGUUGCUCCGCCGGUCCUUCGACCGGUGUAUUCUUCUAUUGUCAGGCCAGCAUCAGUUUGGGUGGUUGGAUAAAGGCAUUGGGAAUGUGACUCUCUUCGGGGAGUGUUAUAGCCCUUUGUGCAAUACAGCCUACCUAGACUGAGGACCGCGCUUCGGCUAGGAUGCUGGCGUAAUGGUCGUAAGCGGCCCGUCUUGAAACACGGACCAAGGAGUCUAACAUCUAUGCGAGUGUUUGGGUGUCAAACCCGUGCGCGAAAUGAAAGUGAACGGAGGUGGGAACCUUUGGGUGCACCAUCGACCGAUCCUGAUGUCUUCGGAUGGAUUUGAGUAAGAGCAUAGCUGUUGGGACCCGAAAGAUGGUGAACUAUGCCUGAAUAGGGUGAAGCCAGAGGAAACUCUGGUGGAGGCUCGCAGCGGUUCUGACGUGCAAAUCGAUCGUCAAAUUUGGGUAUAGGGGCGAAAGACUAAUCGAACCAUUAAAAAAAUAACUUAGUUACUAGGUGGUUAAGAGGCGGCUAAAAGUGCCCGUCUAGUCCCUUCAUUCGGGGCAACACCGUCAAAUUGCGGGGACUUCCUUAGAGCUUGAACUACCGCGACUACAUUGAAAAAUGUGGUGCAGCACCGGGUUAAUUACCUAGGGGAUGGUAAAAAUGUUCAAGAUUGGUUAAUCCGCAGCCAAGUCCUAAGUCAAUUUAUCUAUUGAUAUGGAUGCAGUUCACAGACUAGAUGUCGGUGGGUAUAAUUAUUUAGUAAUUAUGCUUAAGGUAUAGUCGGUUCCCUAUGGAAACAUAGGCAGUAAAUCAAAGCCUUUAGGCAGGAUGACCCUCUAUAUAUUUUUAAGAGGUGUGCCUAAUAGCCCGAAAUUUACUGGGGUGUCCUACAAUUUUU
This 1258-nucleotide ribosomal RNA is filed under the name Helicoma longisporum. RNAcentral's name for it is "LSU rRNA". It matches the Rfam family "Eukaryotic large subunit ribosomal RNA", at positions 75 to 1795 of the family's 3401-position model. The record is from RNAcentral. Lineage: Eukaryota; Fungi; Ascomycota; Dothideomycetes; Tubeufiales; Tubeufiaceae.